AGAGUUUGAUCCUGGCUCAGAAUCAACGCUGGCGGCGUGCCUCAGACAUGCAAGUCGAACGCGAAAGUUCCCUUCGGGGAGCGAGUAGAGUGGCGCACGGGUGAGUAACACGUAGGUAAUCUACCUUUGGAUGGGGAAUAACAACCGGAAACGGUUGCUAAUACCGCAUAAUGCAGCGGCACCUAAUGGUGACAGUUGUUAAAGCGGGGGAUCGCAAGACCUCGCGUCUGAAGAGGAGCCUGCGGCAGAUUAGCUAGUUGGUAAGGUAACGGCUUACCAAGGCGAUGAUCUGUAACCGGCCUGAGAGGGCGGUCGGUCACACUGACACUGACAUACGGGUCAGACUCCUACGGGAGGCAGCAGUCGGGAAUUUUGGGCAAUGGGCGAAAGCCUGACCCAGCAACGCCGCGUGAAGGAUGAAAUCCCUCGGGAUGUAAACUUCGCAAGAACAGGAAGAAUAAGUAAGAGUUAAUAUCUCUUAUGAUGACGGUACUGUUUGUAAGCUCCGGCUAACUCCGUGCCAGCAGCCGCGGUAAUAC
This 539-nucleotide ribosomal RNA is filed under the name uncultured bacterium. RNAcentral's name for it is "bacterial SSU rRNA". It matches the Rfam family "Bacterial small subunit ribosomal RNA", at positions 8 to 526 of the family's 1533-position model. The record is from RNAcentral.